Liolophura sinensis is the source of this 66-nucleotide non-coding RNA. Lineage: Eukaryota; Metazoa; Mollusca; Polyplacophora; Chitonida; Chitonidae. The record is from the annotation of a RefSeq genome assembly.
AAGAAGUUAGUUAAUUCAUAAUAAAAACUUGUCAAGUUUUAGUUACUACUAAGUUAGUAUUUCUUU